This 1345-nucleotide ribosomal RNA is filed under the name uncultured bacterium. RNAcentral describes it as "bacterial SSU rRNA". It matches the Rfam family "Bacterial small subunit ribosomal RNA", at positions 28 to 1381 of the family's 1533-position model. The record is from RNAcentral.
GAUGAACGCUAGCGGGAGGCCUAACACAUGCAAGCCGAGCGGUAUUGUUUCUUCGGAAAUGAGAGAGCGGCGUACGGGUGCGGAACACGUGUGCAACCUGCCUUUAUCUGGGGGAUAGCCUUUCGAAAGGAAGAUUAAUACUCCAUAAUAUAUUGAUUGGCAUCAAUUAAUAUUGAAAGCUCCGGCGGAUAGAGAUGGGCACGCGCAAGAUUAGCUAGUUGGUGUGGUAACGGCUCACCAAGGCGAUGAUCUUUAGGGGGCCUGAGAGGGUGAUCCCCCACACUGGUACUGAGACACGGACCAGACUCCUACGGGAGGCAGCAGUGAGGAAUAUUGGUCAAUGGGUGCAAGCCUGAACCAGCCAUCCCGCGUGAAGGACGACUGCCCUAUGGGUUGUAAACUUCUUUUGUAUAGGGAUAAACCUACCCUCGUGAGGGUAGCUGAAGGUACUAUACGAAUAAGCACCGGCUAACUCCGUGCCAGCAGCCGCGGUAAUACGGAGGGUGCAAGCGUUAUCCGGAUUUAUUGGGUUUAAAGGGUCCGUAGGCGGACUUAUAAGUCAGUGGUGAAAGCCUGUCGCUUAACGAUAGAACUGCCAUUGAUACUGUAAGUCUUGAGUAUAUUUGAGGUAGCUGGAAUAAGUAGUGUAGCGGUGAAAUGCAUAGAUAUUACUUAGAACACCAAUUGCGAAGGCAGGUUACCAAGAUAUAACUGACGCUGAGGGACGAAAGCGUGGGGAGCGAACAGGAUUAGAUACCCUGGUAGUCCACGCCGUAAACGAUGCUAACUCGUUUUUGGGCUUUAGGGUUCAGAGACCAAGCGAAAGUGAUAAGUUAGCCACCUGGGGAGUACGCUCGCAAGAGUGAAACUCAAAGGAGUUGACGGGGGCCCGCACAAGCGGUGGAUUAUGUGGUUUAAUUCGAUGAUACGCGAGGAACCUUACCAAGACUUAAAUGGGAAUUGACAGCUUUAGAAAUAGAGCUUUCUUCGGACAAUUUUCAAGGUGCUGCAUGGUUGUCGUCAGCUCGUGCCGUGAGGUGUUAGGUUAAGUCCUGCAACGAGCGCAACCCCUGUCACUAGUUGCCAUCAUUCAGUUGGGGACUCUAGUGAGACUGCCUACGCAAGUAGAGAGGAAGGUGGGGAUGACGUCAAAUCAUCACGGCCCUUACGUCUUGGGCCACACACGUAAUACAAUGGCCGGUACAGAGGGCAGCUACACAGCGAUGUGAUGCAAAUCUCGAAAGCCGGUCUCAGUUCGGAUUGGAGCCUGCAACUCGACUCUAUGAAGCUGGAAUCGCUAGUAAUCGCGCAUCAGCCAUGGCGCGGUGAAUACGUUCCCGGGCCU